UGGAAGCUUUUUAUUAUGGUCAGAUGUUUCCUGUGUCUGGUUUCUGAAGCAGAAUAUAGGGAAUAUGGAGGGCGUAAGGAGGAUGCAGCUGGUUUUCUUAGUUUGGGGCCAGGCUUCGAAUGCCCCAGGCAUGCGUAAAUGAGCCGUACACUGCGGUGCCCCGCCUGUCACCCUAUACAUUCCACACAUCGAGAUCUUCUGCUAUCCAGCCUCUGCAAGCUUCAGGAAUGUAAGAACGGGGAGAAAACAGAUCGUUUCCAAGCAAACAGGGAAUGCCAAACCUGCAACUCCUCUGCCCACCACUUGAUGACUGCUCAGCGUCUCCCGCAGAGAGGAGAGCGAUUUCCUGUUUGUCCCCGCUUAUAUCCUGAUUCUGCCCAGCUACAUCACUUCCUGUCUGGCCAAUCUGUGUUUUAUUCAUUAACCAGUAAGAGAAACAUAUAUACAGAAGAACAUUCUCCAUCAGUUUGCUCCCUCUGAAGCGCAGGCUGGAGUUUAAUCCCCACUGUGAGCUUCGUGCCGUCUCAUCUGACAUGGACCCUUGACCCUGGACCAGGAUCAGAAGUCCAAAAAAGCCUCCUCAUUUUAUCGUUUACUCAUUCUGUGGUGGGGUGUCUGUGAAGGUGUCUAUAGCAAUCAGUAGAUCGUGAGGACCCUGACCUGUGGAUGGAUUGACUCCUAGAUGGCAUCACAACAUGAUGGUGUCAUUGGAAGGCUGGAAGAAGUAGGUCACUGGGACAUGUCCUGGGGGCUACCUCUGGCCUUGGUCCUUCCCUGUAUUUCCUUGCUUCCUGUCCAUCAUGAAGACACUCUUGAGCCCCACCCCCACCCCAAAGGUGUCCUUUCCUACAACGGGCCCAUGAAGGCAAGGAUGUAAUUGUAUCACUAGACCCAAGAUAAAUGAUAAAUGAUAAA
Long non-coding RNA from Mesocricetus auratus (golden hamster), 915 nucleotides. RefSeq lists it as uncharacterized. The transcript has 4 exons. The record is from RefSeq and is a predicted model, not a curated record. Lineage: Eukaryota; Metazoa; Chordata; Mammalia; Rodentia; Cricetidae.